UACGUAGGGUGCAAGCGUUAAUCGGAAUUACUGGGCGUAAAGCGUGCGCAGGCGGCUAUGCAAGACAGAUGUGAAAUCCCCGGGCUCAACCUGGGAACUGCAUUUGUGACUGCAUGGCUAGAGUACGGCAGAGGGGGAUGGAAUUCCGCGUGUAGCAGUGGAAUGCGUAGAUAUGCGGAGGAACACCGAUGGCGAAGGCAAUCCCCUGGGCCUGUACUGACGCUCAUGCACGAAAGCGUGGGGAGCAAACAGG
RNAcentral lists this ribosomal RNA (253 nucleotides) under uncultured bacterium. RNAcentral describes it as "partial 16S ribosomal RNA". It matches the Rfam family "Bacterial small subunit ribosomal RNA", at positions 524 to 776 of the family's 1533-position model. The record is from RNAcentral.